GGAACGGUGUCCGAGUGGUUGAAGGAGCACGCCUGGAAAGCGUGUGUACGGGCAACCGUACCGAGAGUUCGAAUCUCUCCCGUUCCGCCA
This 90-nucleotide transfer RNA is filed under the name Deinococcus aquaticus. Its description in RNAcentral is "tRNA-Ser". It matches the Rfam family "tRNA". Rfam says of the family: Transfer RNA (tRNA) molecules are approximately 80 nucleotides in length. Their secondary structure includes four short double-helical elements and three loops (D, anti-codon, and T loops). Further hydrogen bonds mediate the characteristic L-shaped molecular structure. tRNAs have two regions of fundamental functional importance: the anti-codon, which is responsible for specific mRNA codon recognition, and the 3' end, to which the tRNAs corresponding amino acid is attached (by aminoacyl-tRNA synthetases). tRNAs cope with the degeneracy of the genetic code in two manners: having more than one tRNA (with a specific anti-codon) for a particular amino acid; and 'wobble' base-pairing, i.e. permitting non-standard base-pairing at the 3rd anti-codon position. Lineage: Bacteria; Thermotogati; Deinococcota; Deinococci; Deinococcales; Deinococcaceae. The record is from RNAcentral.